Molecule: long non-coding RNA, 3981 nt
Organism: Centrocercus urophasianus (Greater sage-grouse)
Lineage: Eukaryota; Metazoa; Chordata; Aves; Galliformes; Phasianidae
Exons: 2
Source: RefSeq, a predicted model, not a curated record
UUUUUUUUUUUUUUUUUUACACAGCAUAAAUAAUCCCAAUAGCUUCUCAUACAAACGUGACACGGGAGCACAACUGAAUGACAAUAUAAGGCAGGAAGCAAAAGAAAAACACUGCACCCCACUGCAGCAGCAGGGCACAGCUCUGCCAUGCCAGAAACAAUUACUGAGAUGGGAAGGCAGCCAGCCUGCCCAGCCAACAGAACAACCAAAGAGCACCAAGUCCACAGCUCCAGAUCUCCUCAUUUAGUUAACUCCUCCUGAAGUUACAGGUCAAUAGUAAGAAUAGAAGGCUGUACUUGGAAAAAAAGCAUGAAUGCAAUCUUUUCCUCUUUAUGAGCGAGAACUUAGGUGCUAAAAGUUGAGGUUUCUUGCUAAUCCUUAGAGGACAUUUCAUGCUGUUACAAAACGUGCCCAUGCCUACAAGGUGCUCAGAUGCCAUGGUUACAGGCACAGUAUGGGACUGUAAAUAGCACGCCGUGACAGAGUUGCACACUCCUCCAUACUGCAGCUGGCUAAGGCACCGGGAGACCAGGCAAGUUUUUGUUAACUUCUACCCACAUUCGGCUGAUCUUUAGCACCUGGGCAGAUCACCAUUAACAUUUUGUCAUUGUUGCAUGCUCUGAAACAACUGCCCUUAAGAUCACAGUCCUGUUUACAUUUUUAUUGACCAAAACGCAAAAGUAAAUGUUGUGUCACACGACGUUCAUAAGAGUUUAAAUAAUGAACCAAUUCAACCUGGCACAUAGCAGUUCCACCAGUUAUCAGAAAGAAACAGAGCUGAGGAGUGAGCACCACUUCUUCAUGUACUUACAUGAGGACAGUGACAGAAGCUUUCCUUUGGCUGACUGCAGCUGUACGGUGCUAUUAAGUACAGGGUAAGUCCAUUGCACCCAAACAUUAUACAAGCUUGAUUAAAAAAAACAGCUGAAUAACAUUUUUAUUUGGAGAGCACACAGCAUUUGCUAACCUUCUGCCAUUUCAUUUUUUUUUCCUUCCAAAUUUAAGCUUUGUGUGUGUGUGUGUGUGUGUGGACAAAUUCACCAUAAUUUCUUGUUCUCUGCUUCCCUGAGGAGUCUGUGAAACAACAUCCCUACAAACACCAAGUGCGCUGAAGGGCAGGGAAAUAAGUUGGAAAGAACAUUUCAAGAUAUUCUUAAUUACUCUUGGUUAACAAGUAAAAUGUUUUAAGUUGAUACUAAACGAGCACUGACAUUGAUAUAAAGUGGGAAACUGGCUCUUCAUCUGAAUCUAAGCUUCCCAUGGGAAUGCUGAAAAUCUGUCUUGUUCCAUUUCAAAACAGUUUCUAUUUCUUCAGAGAAGUUUUACUCUAUGUCCUGAAGAAUUAGAGCACGUUUAAAAGAUGUGGUGCCCACAGACCAUGCAGAGCUUCAGUGCAAUGUCACACUUGAGAAAUAGAGUGAGCAACAUACACACACUGAUUCCCAAGCAGAAGAGCAGCUUGGAACAUUAGAAGCUUCUUAUCUUAGGGACCAUUGCAAACAAAAUUAUUUGGAGAAUUCAAAAACAUUCUAAACAAAAUCUUCUUGAUCAGAUAGGCCAAGAAAACUGGAACUCACCUAUCGAUAUUGGCUUUGAACUUCAGAAGCAAUUCAUAGAAAGGGCUUUUCCUAAUACUGCACAUUACACAAAGACUAAAACCACUUUGUUGGUCAUAUCCCCACAAGCACACAAACAAGCCAGAAGAGCAUUAAGCUCUGUCUUCUUUCAGGAGAAGAUUAUUCAAAUGUAUGCAAAUGCACACAUGGCAUUGGACAAAUAUGAAGACUCUAAUAACAAAACCUUGUAAUAAAGCCAAACGAGGCUACUGUCUUUAUUCUGCUUGGUGAUCUGUAACAGACCAGCUUCCCAUUGCCUUGAUUUUUAUGUAGUCCUUUAAAAACAUGAAGUCUGUGUGAUUAUAAAACUCCAUCAGGACAAAGAGGGAAUACCAGUCUGGGAGCACUUAUUCUCAUUUUGCACAAAGACAGCAAUCAACUUCUGAUUGUGGUGUACACCUUAACUGUCCAUUUAUUCACUGACACCAAUUUCAGGACAAGUUACCAAGCACAUUACGACUAGCACCUCACCAUCAGUAGAGCUGUGAAGUACUCUGUAGGCAAUGUAGUUUUACUGGGCUUGGUAUAAGGAAAAAAAAAAGAAAAUGACCAAAGCAGAUCUGCUGUCAUUUGGGACGCCACAGUCCUAAAAGGUAUACAGAGAUAAACAGUGAUAUAUGAAGCCAAAAGAAAGCCCAACCCUUAAGCAUUUUAAGCUACCUUUCUGUGAUAUUUAUUAUUCAAUUUUUCAACACUAUGCCUCUCCCCACUUCUGAAAAACAAAAUGAAUGUUGCUACCUACUGCUCUGCUUUAUCAUUAUUAAAUUAAGAUGCUAAAGCCCAAUAGGGAAAGCAUCCGUGUACCCCUUAUAAUCCACCAUCACAUCAUCUUAGUGCAGGUAUAACACCAAGCAUGGCAAGUGUAGCCAUAUGAGGUAUAUUUACUCAAGCUGGUACCAUCUGUGUUACUCGUGAGCAGUGGAGUGAGACAGAAUCAGACUGAUACACAGUCAUUUAGGGCCCUGUGUACCCUCAGCUUUCCAGGAAAGCUUCACUAAGCUCAUUUUAGAUUAAACCAGGAGACACCAACAAGUACCAGCCACCUGUUUUGGAAGGUGCUUUUUGAUUCCAUACAAUGCAUACACAAAGAAAGCAGGAAGAAAGAAAAAAGGAAAAACUUCUCACUUGCUUUUGAGCACCUUGUCCAGGGUUUCAGAUGCUUCUUAUCACAAUACAGAAGGGUUUACAUAAUUCCUCAUUGCUCCUGGAUGACUCUUAGAAGGAUGACAAAUGACCACCACCCCCAUCCUUUCAAUUCUCUGUGACUUGCAGAAGGUCACAGCUACCGGACAGAGAGGAAAAGUACAGAUUAAAAGAUUACAGCUGACAAUGCUUUCCUAAGGGGACUUCAGACUGAAGUGCAGUGACCACAGCAGCAGCUGGCCAUUGAAUCUCUCUGAUUACUUUUACAUUAACUCUUCAUCCCAAAAAUCAGCAAGCAAGAAGGAAAAGAAACUCCCUUAUCUCCAGACAUUCUCUCCUCUGCUCCAGCACAGACAAACCCUCCUCAGCACAGAGCUGUGUGAUUAAAGAGAACAGACCCUUUAGCAGCGUGGCACUGGACUUGGCCACACUUGCACAAGCACUCAUUAGAAAAAGCCCUAACCCCACGGCUGGCUCCAGAGGAAGGUACUUGAGGAUGUGGAAACUGAGGCAGAUACCUCCAGAUACCGCUGUGUAGUGUUUGUAUUGUGUGAGCAGGACUUACAGGUUCCCUGGACCAAAGAGAGCAUGUGUUGAUCUCCUAUCCCACGACUGGGGCUUUCCACUGGAAAAGAUGAGGACUCUGGCUGCCACACAAGAAUGGUUUAUGUGUUAUAGCUUAAAAUGCUUAUGUGUUUAGAGUGCCUGUCACGACAGGCCAAACAGCUUCUGCUUUUAAAGAAACAAAAGAUCACAAUUGCUUGAAACCAUCAAGACUCAGGAAACCAGUUCUGUGAUGCAGGUAUCAGCUGGAGCAGGAAAAGAAACUGCAGAGAGAGAAGCACCCAGCGCUCCAGAGAGCAGCAGCUGGAGGGCAGGCCUGGCUCAACCUCACAGCACGCGGCUGUGACACGUCUGUGCGGCACAGAGCUCCCAUCCCCUCCUGGAGGAGCAGGCAGGUUGUUCACACCGUGGUCUGAAUAAAGCUGUAUUUAUCAACUACUGCAAAAGCCAAAGUGCUCAUAGCUCCACAAGAAUUAUUAUUCUUAUCUCAACGUAAAUAAUGCCAGAAUACUUUAGACAAAAAAAUUGUUUUUUCAAAUAUUGUAAUAGGGCAUAAACUAAAGACCUAAGGCAGUUCAUACAGCCUGCCCAGCUCACUGAUCAAUCAUUUCAUUCACCACGGUCCUGUUUAAAAUGUAAUUAAACUCCAGAAAAAUCA